GCCUGGGUGGCUCAGUCGGUUGAGUGUCUGACUUCGGCUCAGGUCCUGAUCUCACAGUCUGUGAGUUUGAGCCCCACAUCAGGCU
This 85-nucleotide transfer RNA is filed under the name Felis catus (domestic cat). It matches the Rfam family "tRNA". From Rfam's summary of the family: Transfer RNA (tRNA) molecules are approximately 80 nucleotides in length. Their secondary structure includes four short double-helical elements and three loops (D, anti-codon, and T loops). RNAcentral also lists the same sequence under 2 other names. The record is from Rfam by way of RNAcentral. Lineage: Eukaryota; Metazoa; Chordata; Mammalia; Carnivora; Felidae.